Molecule: ribosomal RNA, 253 nt
Filed under: uncultured bacterium
Lineage: Bacteria
Description: partial 16S ribosomal RNA
Rfam family: Bacterial small subunit ribosomal RNA
Source: RNAcentral
UACGCAGGGUGCAAGCGUUGUCCGGAAUUAUUGGGCGUAAAGAGCGCGUAGGCGGUUUGUCAAGUCUGCUGUGAAAUCCCGAGGCUCAACCUCGGGCCUGCAGUGGGUACGGGCAGGCUGGAGUGCGGUAGGGGAGAAUGGAAUUCCUGGUGUAGCGGUGGAAUGCGCAGAUAUCAGGAGGAACACCGAUGGCGAAGGCAGUUCUCUGGGCCGUAACUGACGCUGAGGAGCGAAAGCGUGGGGAGCGAACAGG